This 476-nucleotide ribosomal RNA is filed under the name Rana pirica. RNAcentral describes it as "partial 12S ribosomal RNA". It matches the Rfam family "Bacterial small subunit ribosomal RNA", at positions 853 to 1533 of the family's 1533-position model. The record is from RNAcentral. Lineage: Eukaryota; Metazoa; Chordata; Amphibia; Anura; Ranidae.
UUAACUUACACCCACACCGCCAGGGGAUUACGAGCAAUGCUUAAAACCCAAAGGAUUUGACGGUGUCCCACCCUACUAGAGGAGCCUGUUCUAUAAUCGAUGAUCCCCGCUUCACCUAACCAUCCCUCGCCUUCAGUCUGUAUACCUCCGUCGGAAGCUUACCAUGUGAACGCCCGCAGUGGGCUUAAUGAUCUACCAUCAGUACGUCAGGUCAAGGUGCAGCUUAAGGGGUGGCAAGUAAUGGGCUACAAUUUCUAAUCUAGAACAAACGAAAGACUAUGUGAAACCCUAGUCAUGAAGGUGGAUUUAGUAGUAAAAAGAAAACAGAGUGUUCUUUUUAACCCGGCUCUGGGACGCGUACACACCGCCCGUCACCCUCUUCAAUAGUACCGUAUCUGUUCAUAACCCAACAUCACGUUUUAGAAGAGGCAAGUCGUAACAUGGUAAGUGUACUGGAAAGUGCACUUGGUAUACUA